GAUGAACGCUGGCGGCGUGCCUAAUACAUGCAAGUCGAACGCACUGUGGUUCAACUGAUUUGAAGAGCUUGCUCUGAUCUGACGAUGAACAUUGCAGUGAGUGGCGAACGGGUGAGUAACACGUGGGAAACCUACCUCUUAGCGGGGGAUAACAUCUGGAAACAGAUGCUAAUACCGCAUAACACUAGCAACCGCAUGGUUGCUACUUGAAAGAUGGUUCUGCUAUCACUAAGUGAUGGUCCCGCGGCGCAUUAGUUAGUUGGUGAGGUAAUGGCUCACCAAGACGAUGAUGCGUAGCCGAGUUGAGAGACUGAUCGGCCACAAUGGGACUGAGACACGGCCCAUACUCCUACGGGAGGCAGCAGUAGGGAAUCUUCCACAAUGGACGAAAGUCUGAUGGAGCAACGCCGCGUGUGUGAUGAAGGGUUUCGGCUCGCAAAACACUGUUGUAAGAGAAGAAUAGCAUCUAGAGUAACUGCUAGGUGUCUGACGGU
This 494-nucleotide ribosomal RNA is filed under the name uncultured Weissella sp. Its description in RNAcentral is "bacterial SSU rRNA". It matches the Rfam family "Bacterial small subunit ribosomal RNA", at positions 28 to 476 of the family's 1533-position model. The record is from RNAcentral. Lineage: Bacteria; Bacillati; Bacillota; Bacilli; Lactobacillales; Lactobacillaceae.